UGCAAGUCGAACGGUAACAGGGAGCUUGCUCCGCUGACGAGUGGCGAACGGGUGAGUAAUAUAUCGGAACGUACCCAAGAGUGGGGGAUAACGUAGCGAAAGUUACGCUAAUACCGCAUACGAUCUAUGGAUGAAAGCAGGGGACCUUCGGGCCUUGUGCUCCUGGAGCGGCCGAUAUCUGAUUAGCUAGUUGGUGAGGUAAAGGCUCACCAAGGCGACGAUCAGUAGCUGGUCUGAGAGGACGACCAGCCACACUGGAACUGAGACACGGUCCAGACUCCUACGGGAGGCAGCAGUGGGGAAUUUUGGACAAUGGGCGCAAGCCUGAUCCAGCAAUGCCGCGUGAGUGAAGAAGGCCUUCGGGUUGUAAAGCUCUUUUGUCAGGGAAGAAACGGCUGUGGCUAAUAUCCACGGCUAAUGACGGUACCUGAAGAAUAAGCACCGGCUAACUACGUGCCAGCAGCCGCGGUAAUACGUAGGGUGCAAGCGUUAAUCGGAAUUACUGGGCGUAAAGCGUGCGCAGGCGGUUUUGUAAGUCUGUCGUGAAAUCCCCGGGCUCAACCUGGGAAUUGCGAUGGAGACUGCAAGGCUAGAAUCUGGCAGAGGGGGGUAGAAUUCCACGUGUAGCAGUGAAAUGCGUAGAGAUGUGGAGGAACACCGAUGGCGAAGGCAGCCCCCUGGGUCAAGAUUGACGCUCAUGCACGAAAGCGUGGGGAGCAAACAGGAUUAGAUACCCUGGUAGUCCACGCCCUAAACGAUGUCUACUAGUUGUCGGGUUUUAAUUAACUUGGUAACGCAGCUAACGCGUGAAGUAGACCGCCUGGGGAGUACGGUCGCAAGAUUAAAACUCAAAGGAAUUGACGGGGACCCGCACAAGCGGUGGAUGAUGUGGAUUAAUUCGAUGCAACGCGAAAAACCUUACCUACCCUUGACAUGUCAGGAAGACCGAAGAGAUUUGGUUGUGCCCGAAAGGGAACCUGAACACAGGUGCUGCAUGGCUGUCGUCAGCUCGUGUCGUGAGAUGUUGGGUUAAGUCCCGCAACGAGCGCAACCCUUGUCAUUAGUUGCUACGCAAGAGCACUCUAAUGAGACUGCCGGUGACAAACCGGAGGAAGGUGGGGAUGACGUCAAGUCCUCAUGGCCCUUAUGGGUAGGGCUUCACACGUCAUACAAUGGUACAUACAGAGGGCCGCCAACCCGCGAGGGGGAGCUAAUCCCA
This 1219-nucleotide ribosomal RNA is filed under the name Massilia timonae. RNAcentral's name for it is "bacterial SSU rRNA". It matches the Rfam family "Bacterial small subunit ribosomal RNA", at positions 56 to 1276 of the family's 1533-position model. The record is from RNAcentral. Lineage: Bacteria; Pseudomonadati; Pseudomonadota; Betaproteobacteria; Burkholderiales; Oxalobacteraceae.